RNAcentral lists this ribosomal RNA (376 nucleotides) under uncultured bacterium. RNAcentral describes it as "bacterial SSU rRNA". It matches the Rfam family "Bacterial small subunit ribosomal RNA", at positions 521 to 896 of the family's 1533-position model. The record is from RNAcentral.
UAAGACGAACCGAGCGAACGUUGUUCGGAAUCACUGGGCUUAAAGGGCGCGUAGGCGGGUGCUCAAGUCUGUGGUGAAAUCCUCCGGCUCAACCGGAGAACUGCCAUGGAUACUGGGUGUCUCGAGGGUGGUAGGGGUAUGCGGAACUAUCGGUGGAGCGGUGAAAUGCGUUGAUAUCGAUAGGAACUCCGGUGGCGAAGGCGGCAUACUGGACCACUUCUGACGCUGAGGCGCGAAAGCCAGGGGAGCAAACGGGAUUAGAUACCCCGGUAGUCCUGGCCCUAAACGAUGGGAACUAGCUAGUAGGGUUCACAUGGCUUUACUGGCGAAGCAAAAGUGCUAAGUUCCCCGCCUGGGGAGUAUGGUCGCAAGGCUG